This 533-nucleotide ribosomal RNA is filed under the name Bruchidius cf. subdolus GJK-2010. RNAcentral describes it as "partial 16S ribosomal RNA". The stretch from base 395 to 533 matches the Rfam family "Bacterial large subunit ribosomal RNA", at positions 2473 to 2608 of the family's 2925-position model. The record is from RNAcentral. Lineage: Eukaryota; Metazoa; Arthropoda; Insecta; Coleoptera; Chrysomelidae.
UCAAAAACAUGUCCUAUUGAUUAUAAUUUUAGGUUUGACCUGCCCCCUGAAUUUUAAAUGGCCGCAGUAUUUUGACUGUGCUAAGGUAGCAUAAUCAUUAGUUUCUUAAUUAGAAGCUGGUAUGAAUGGUUUUAUGAAAAAAAAUCUGUCUCUAUUUAAAAAUAUUAUAAUUUUAUUUUUUAGUAAAAAAGCUAAAAUAAAUUUAAAAGACGAGAAGACCCUAUAGAGUUUUAUAGUAUGAAUAAUUUAAUAUUUAUAGGAAUUUUAAAUUUUUAAUUUAUUUUAUUAUUUAAUUGGGGUGAUUGAAAAAUUAAAUAAACUUUUUUUGUUAAAUUACAUUAAUUUAUGAAAUAAUGAUCCAUUUUUUAUGAUUAAAAGUUUAAAUUACCUUAGGGAUAACAGCGUAAUUUUUUCAAAGAGUUCUUAUCGAAGAAAAAGAUUGCGACCUCGAUGUUGGAUUAAAAUUUACUUUUGGUGUAGAAGCUAAGCUAAUAGUUAGGUCUGUUCGACCUUUAAAAUUUUACAUGAUCUGA